This is a long non-coding RNA of Homo sapiens (human), 1562 nucleotides long. Ensembl annotates it as long intergenic non-protein coding RNA 2293. The record is from Ensembl. Lineage: Eukaryota; Metazoa; Chordata; Mammalia; Primates; Hominidae.
CAUUUAUAACCUGCAUUCUUAUGGCUGUAAAUUAAUUUCAUUAUAUAAUUUAUAUAAAAAAGAUAAUAGAUUGAUGCAUGUUAUUAUUUCCUUACCUUCACUAAUUAGGUUAUUACUAAAUGAGAUCAGCUAAAUUCUGAAGCUUUUAAUGGAAAAUUGAUGUAGCUAUUGUGAGCUCUGGAAAUCUUAUUUCUUUGUUCUAUCACUAUAAUAUGUGUAUAAGGAUUCAUCACCAAAACUUGAUAUUUAAGUCAAAUUAAAGGGCAUUUUUACUGUAGUGAUCAACCUUAUACAAUUUAUGAAGAUUUGUUUUUAAAAACAAAGUUCAUAGAGAAAUUAAUGUUUCACCUUUUCCCUUAUAACCAGAUGGCUUCUGGAGGGAAAACUGCUUACAGCUUAUUCACUGGCUUCUCAAUGACUUCAGUGCAAGAUGAAUAAUUUCAGGGGCCACUUUAUCUUGACUAUGCUGUUUAGUAACUAGUGUGAUUGUUUGUAAUGAAAUGAAAAGAGAGACUGAAGAACGUAAAAAAUGAGAAACUAAGGAGGAAACAGGGAGAAGGUUAAUAACUCAUUCUGAAAAUACCUGUAAGAUUUAGCCAUGCCCUAAAGUUUUAAUCGGUUGGGCCACAUUUUAUUCAGAAAUUUAGUGAGGAGCCUAUUAACCACCAAGACUUCAUUUCUUUUCAUAUAUAAUAUUUAUUUGAGAUUUGGGGAUUAUUCUAUAUCUUCUGAUAUGAAAUUAUAAUAAUGUGACUUUCACUACUGUUAGACAAAUACUGAUUGUCUUUCUUCCAGGGAACCUCAAAGAAUUCAAAUAUGCUACUUAGUAUACACACUAAUGUUUGCUCACCCUUUGAGCAUAAGCUCAAAUUUUAUUGUGGCUUAUCUUCUCCAAAAAAUGGGUCGAAAUUUUUGUAGAAUAGACAAAUCAAGAAUGAUGACUUCUUAAGAUGCAGUAUUCAAGUUCAGAAAUCUAUACUCAGAUGACCUUAUGUAGGUCAUCUGCUUCUGAGGUUUAUCUCACCAGUGGUCCCAGAAGGCUGCAUAUGGAACUGACCUGGACUUAAUCUACAAGAUAGAUACCCCCAGCUAACCUGCAAACUCACAGAGUGAUGAGUGAGAAAAUAAUGCUUCUUCUUCUGUGCCUAUGUGAUUUAGUGAUUCUGCUAUGCAACAAAAGUUAAUGUAAUUUUUUAAAGCAGAAGCUAUUGUAAAGAAACUGAGACCAAGAAUGGUUAAGUAAAGCAUCCUAAUUCACAUGAUUAUAGAACAAAAGAACUGGGACUCAAACUAAGGCCCUCUGAUUUCAAUACACAUGUUUUUAACUGUUAUGCCAUGCUGUCUCCAAGUAAGCAUAUUAUUAAUAUUAUUAUCAGGUACAAGAACAUAUUAUGUAGAAAAUGCCAGGGUUGUUCAGUGCUUCUUUUCAACAUUUCUGUUAUUAAUAGUUUAAUUUUCUCACUGUGCUCUUUAAGCUCCCUAUCUAUAAACCUGUUUUAUAUGUGUGUGUCUGUACAUGUACAUGCAAGUAACAACGAAUAAAAUUUUGAAAUUUUAUAAAG